CCCUUAGAUGUUCUGGGCCGCACGCGCGCUACACUGAUGCAGUCAACAAGUAUAUUAUCCUAGGUUGAAAAAUCUGGGUAAUCUUUUGAAACUGCAUCGUGCUGGGGCUUGACGAUUGCAAUUAUUUGUCACAAACGAGGAAUUCCUAGUAAACGCAAGUCAUCAUCUUGCAUUGAUUACGUCCCUGCCCUUUGUACACACCGCCCGUCGCUCCUACCGAUUGAGUGGUCCGGUGAGGCUUUGGGAUCUGAGCGGAAAGAGCGUUUCGCUGUUUCUGCUCGGAAAACUCAGUCGAACCUUAUCAUUUAGAGGAAGGAGAAGUCGUAACA
Molecule: ribosomal RNA, 329 nt
Filed under: uncultured eukaryote
Lineage: Eukaryota
Description: partial 18S ribosomal RNA
Rfam family: Eukaryotic small subunit ribosomal RNA
Source: RNAcentral